RNAcentral lists this ribosomal RNA (305 nucleotides) under uncultured bacterium. Its description in RNAcentral is "bacterial SSU rRNA". It matches the Rfam family "Bacterial small subunit ribosomal RNA", at positions 337 to 657 of the family's 1533-position model. The record is from RNAcentral.
GCCUACGGGGCGCAGCAGUGGGGAAUAUUGGGCAAUGGGCGCAAGCCUGACCCAGCAACGCCGCGUGAAGGAAGAAGGCUUUCGGGUUGUAAACUUCUUUUCUCAGGGACGAAGAAAGUGACGGUACCUGAGGAAUAAGCCACGGCUAACUACGUGCCAGCAGCCGCGGUAAUACGUAGGAUGCGAGCGUUAUCCGGAUUUAUUGGGUUUAAAGGGUGCGUAGGCGGGCUUUUAAGUCAGCGGUAAAAAUUCGGGGCUCAACCCCGUCCGGCCGUUGAAACUGGGGGCCUUGAGUGGGCGAGAAG